Molecule: long non-coding RNA, 4161 nt
Filed under: Mytilus galloprovincialis (Mediterranean mussel)
Lineage: Eukaryota; Metazoa; Mollusca; Bivalvia; Mytilida; Mytilidae
Source: RNAcentral
GUAGCGGAUGAGGUUACGCAGGCAAGUAUGAGGCGCUUCGAAAGCGCAUCCUUGCCGAGGUACCUGACGCUGACGUCGUAGGGUCAAAGGGUCGCAGAAGUACGUAUAGUUUACAAUAUAGAAAUAUAGGAAAAUAUAUAUGACAAACAUUAUAUACAGUGAUACCUGUCUAAUCUAUACUAUGUUUUUAAGUCAAGUCAUAUAAAGUUUUAUUUGUUAUGAACCUGAUUAUAAAACCGAACUUCUACCAAAACCGAACACAAUCUCAAGUCCCGAAGCAGUAAGUUCAGAAUGUUUUCACUUUACCUUAGAUUUACAAUCAUGCAAUGUCCGGAGAUGUGAAGUGCAAGACAAAAUCCUAGGCCAAAACAAUAAACCUUGGAAUUUUAUACAAAAGGUGUCUUGAUAUUUUCGUUUUUGUUCUGUCAAAUAUUGAUAAAUACGUGUAGUUGUAAACAAAAAUUGCUUAAAGGCGUUCUCCUUUAUCUUUUUUUUUUUGCGAGACGAGAUAUUCCGUUGGUCCAAACAUAAUAAACUUACUAAACUAGAAUGAUAACGACGUUAACUAUAAAAUACAACUUGCGAAGAAAAGAAAAUAAAACAGACACGAACCAACAACAACCACUGAACUGGAAACUCCUGGCUUGUGACUUGUACUUGAACAUUAUUGCAUGGUUAAUAUUAAAAAAAAAUGUGGUAUGAUUGCCAAUGAUACAACUGUCAACAACAGACCAAAAUGACACAGAAAUUAACAACUAUAGGUCAUCGCACGGCCUUCAACAAUGAGCAAAGCCCAUACCGCAUAGUCAGCCCCGAAAUGACAAUGUAAAAUAAUUCAAACGAGAAAACUAACGGCCUUAUUUAUGUAAAAAAAAGAAUCAUGUUUGUGAGCUCUCAACCCUCUCCCUAACCUGGGACAUUGGUGUAACUGUACAAAAUAAGAACCGAUACCGUUUUACAUUAUUUGUUGACGAUGAAAUUUCUUGGUGUCUAUGGACAAAUAUUUCAAGUAUAUCUUGAACGUACAUGAAUUAAGUAUUAGAUCAAUUAUCAAUUGUUUUGCAAUUUUGCAUCCGAUCCCUCGUGUAAAGAGAGUGCAACAGUAUUUGCACGUUAAGAACCCUUGCAACAACUCUUUGAGGGGUCCGUAGGUGGCCUGUUGCAAUGUAAAAUUUCUGUCCCUAUCCAAUAUACCCUCAUUUCGCAGUGGCAGUCCAAAUUUCCCCGACCAUCAUCCCAGAUGGCCUCUCUUGUGACAAGACCUACCUAUUAUAUUUAUUGUGAACUUGUUCUCGUCCUGAAUAUGCAUGAAACAUUUGCCACUGGAAGUUAGGCAACCAACAAUCAAUCAAUCAAUUUUGCAAUGUUGGUCGAAUAUUAUCAAUAACAGAUAAUCUUCCUUUUCCAACCAGACGUAACUGGCAGCGUACAUGCAUACUUGUACAUCCCAUAACAAGACAAGUGCAAUUUUCUUCUUCGUUUUUGAAGCAUUUUUAAAUAAUUAUUCUUUUUUGUACUUUUUGAAUUAAUUUAUCAAACAUUUUCAAACAAAAGACAACAAGACCAAAACUUGUGUAUUUUAAAAUUGAAGCGGUUCCCGAUAGAUAAUUUAUUUGUUUCAAAUGGAAAGAUAGAAAUCCUAAGGGAAAAAGAAUUUGUUAUUCUAUAAAUCAUGUAAAUGACAAUAUCAUAAUCCGAAGUUUGAAAUAAAUGCCAGGGAAAACGACCAAUCGUCUUCGAGAGAGAUCAAAGAAAAACAUUGAAUAAGAUGAGUAGCGACGGAUUUUUAUAAUUAAUUUACUAUCAUCUGUACCCAUAACUUCAAUAUAAUGCAGUAUAUCAUAUUGGGUUUUUCGUUCAUUGUCAUGUAAAUAACCCUAAUAAGUUUUCACCCUUGAUUGUAUAUGCGUUUGCCAUCUUUUUGCCUUUUUAUAGAUAACUAUGUAGUAUACGGGUUUUAUUCAUUUUUGAAGGCUGCAUUGCGUCCUAUAAUUGUAAACCUCGAUUUUUUUGGCAGUUAACUUAGUCUCUGGUGGAGAGGGGUUUCACUGGCAAACAUAACAAAUAUUUUUAUUCCUCUAAUUCUAUGGAAAUAUAUCCCUUUCAUAACCCAUUGUAUAAAACAAUUUAAUCAACGUGUGGUUGCCUGUGAUCUCAGAUGAUGAUUGGCUGAGUAAAAAGGUCACAACCUUUCUCGGCUCCCUGAAAUUAUCAAAGUGUUAAUGCAAUUGACAACUUCGUGGAAGUACAAGGCACUCGAAUGGGAUUUUUAGUUUAGAAAUUUUAUCUGUUAAUCAUUAGAGAAACUAAUCAUUAGAUAGUAACGUUUGGGUUAUCGGAUUUAUCAAAUCUCGAUAGUACAAUUAUAAAUUUUUCAGUCCGAGCCUCGGCGAGGACUUUAAAUUUGAUAAUUUAACUAUGACGAUUGGAUAAAUCUGAUAACUCAGUGACACUUGUAUCAAUGCAAUACUUUAUAUUUAUUAUUUAUACAUAUGAUAUAUAUAUAUAAAUUUUUUUAUUUUAGCUUCAUUUGAAAUUACGAUCAAUGAUACAGAGGUUUUUUCUAAAUUGAAGUUGAAAGGUUGGCCAAUCGAAGAGGAUGUAAGUUCGAUUUAUUUUUUCAUGUGUAUUAGUCCAAGGUAGUUUAAUAAUCUUUAACGUUGGACUCCACUUGUCCGUAUGAUGAAAGUGUUUGGUAGCCUUAGAUAUAAAAAAAAACUGAAUAUAGGUGAUCAUAGGUAAACCGAUAGAAUUAUGAACUGACGUCAUGUAAAAGAUAGUCAAAAUAUACCAAAUAGAUAUUCAAUAACGAAAAACGAUGAACAGAGUGAGACUAACAGAACUUGUUUUUCCCAACAUAGAAAACCGAAAACCGAGCAACACGAAUACAUGCAAUAACCGGAUGGUCGCAGGCGCUUCGGACGGGUAAUCAGAUCCUGUUCCACAUGCAAAUAUCCUGUAGAUUAAUAAAGAUUUUAUGCAUUUGGCCAUAUACAGUCUUUUUCAUUUAAUUCCCGAUUUGAACAUUGACGUAUAUGUAAUUGUCAGCUAAAAAAAACUAUAUCAAAUAAUUAUCUAGAUUGACCAGAAUAAUAAGCUUAGUUACACGAUACUUGUUAGCCAUGGACAUAUAUAUGUAUUAAAGGGGAUGGGAUUGCAAAAAAAAAAAAAAAAAAUCAGAAAUAAUUUUGAUUGUCACAGAAAAUAAAUGGAUUUCAAUGGUCUCUGUCUUCUAUAUGAAUAGACCGAUUAGAAAGCAACAGACGAAAAAAAUGCCACACAUAGAAAUACAUGACUAAAUACAUUAUUUGCAUACAAAGUAGACGCUUAGCCGCAGUUAUUCAAGGUUGCUUUUCGUUUCACAAGUAACCCUCUUUAAACAUAUCCACCAGUCUAUACACAAACAGUUGAACGGUAGCUGAACAAUUAACAAGUAGAUAUUAGUGUAUAAUAUAUAAAGAUGAUAUGUCAGAUAAUAUAAACCAUACAACUGAUGUAUUCAUUGCAAUUUGAUUUGAUUUUUUUGUGUUUUAACACCACUUUUAAGCACCGCUUUUGGGCUAUUUCGUGGAAGCCAGUUUUUAUUUGUUGAGGAAGCCGGAGUGUCUGGAAAAAACCCAAUCGACCUUCGAUAGGAAAACUGACAAUCGUAGUCAAUUAAGAUUGGAGUCGAGUUCACCUUAUUGCAAUUUGAAUAAGGCAAAAAAAAAAACCUUAGUUACGGUAGUCAGAGAUUGAGCAGGAUGAAACCAUUAUUUCAGAGCACACGAAUGAGAUCCCCGUGGUUUUUUAGGGAGUUCUUGCUGUCGUUUUUCUAUGUUAAAAUGUAUUGUGUACGGUUUUUUUGUUGUUUUAUUUUGCCAUAAUAUGGUUAGUUUGUUUUUGACUUUUAAGAUUGAAUAUCCCUUUGACAUGUUUGCCUUUCUUUAUCAAUAAAUUGCUGAAAUACGACAUAUUUUUUUUUUUAUGUUUCAGCUGAUUGAGGUUAUACGACAAGCUGAUCAUGGUAUGGAACCAAAAGAAUUAUCAACGUGCAGGAAAGCUUGUUGUGUCAUUUGUUAAACUGGGAUGUGAUUAAAAAGACGGACAUUAAAAUAUUUGUAAAAUGUAAAACAAAAAUUUUAUUCGCAUUUGCCAUUCAUGUAGCUCACUGAAUGAAAG